ACGUAGGCGGCAAGCGUUGUCCGGAAUUAUUGGGCGUAAAGGGAGCGCAGGCGGGAAACUAAGCGGAUCUUAAAAGUGCGGGGCUCAACCCCGUGAUGGGGUCCGAACUGGUUUUCUUGAGUGCAGGAGAGGAAAGCGGAAUUCCCAGUGUAGCGGUGAAAUGCGUAGAUCUUCGGAAGAACACCAGUGGCGAAGGCGGCUUUCUGGCCUGUAACUGACGCUGAGGCUCGAAAGCUAGGGUAGCGAACGC
Molecule: ribosomal RNA, 250 nt
Filed under: uncultured bacterium
Lineage: Bacteria
Description: partial 16S ribosomal RNA
Rfam family: Bacterial small subunit ribosomal RNA
Source: RNAcentral